GCCUACGGGGGGCAGCAGUCGGGAAUAUUGCACAAUGGAGGAAACUCUGAUGCAGUGACGCCGCGUGCAGGAAGAAGGUUUUCUGAUUGUAAACUGCUUUAGAUAGGGAAGAUAAAAGACUGUACCUAUAGAAUAAGCUCCGGCUAACUACGUGCCAGCAGCCGCGGUAAUACGUAGGGAGCAAGCGUUAUCCGGAUUUACUGGGUGUAAAGGGAGCGUAGGCGGCGAUGCAAGUCAGAAGUGAAAGCCCGGGGCUCAACUCCGGGACUGCUUUUGAAGCUGUGUUGCUAGAUUGCAGGAGAGGG
Molecule: ribosomal RNA, 305 nt
Filed under: uncultured bacterium
Lineage: Bacteria
Description: bacterial SSU rRNA
Rfam family: Bacterial small subunit ribosomal RNA
Source: RNAcentral